UGGGGAAUAUUGCACAAUGGGCGCAAGCCUGAUGCAGCCAUGCCGCGUGUAUGAAGAAGGCCUUCGGGUUGUAAAGUACUUUCAGCGAGGAGGAAGGCGUUGUGGUUAAUAACCGCAACGAUUGACGUUACUCGCAGAAGAAGCACCGGCUAACUCCGUGCCAGCAGCCGCGGUAAUACGGAGGGUGCAAGCGUUAAUCGGAAUUACUGGGCGUAAAGCGCACGCAGGCGGUCUGUCAGGGCGGAUGUGAAAUCCCCGGGCUCAACCUGGGAACUGCAUCCGAAACUGGCAGGCUAGAGUCUUGUAGAGGGGGGUAGAAUUCCAGGUGUAGCGGUGAAAUGCGUAGAGAUCUGGAGGAAUACCGGUGGCGAAGGCGGCCCCCUGGACAAAGACUGACGCUCAGGUGCGAAAGCGUGGGGAGCAAACA
Molecule: ribosomal RNA, 427 nt
Filed under: uncultured bacterium
Lineage: Bacteria
Description: partial 16S ribosomal RNA
Rfam family: Bacterial small subunit ribosomal RNA
Source: RNAcentral